GACGAACGCUGGCGGCGUGCUUAACACAUGCAAGUCGAACGAAGAGCGAUGGAAGCUUGCUUCUAUCAAUCUUAGUGGCGAACGGGUGAGUAACGCGUAAUCAACCUGCCCUUCAGAGGGGGACAACAGUUGGAAACGACUGCUAAUACCGCAUACGAUCUAAUCUCGGCAUCGAGGAUAGAUGAAAGGUGGCCUCUAUAUGUAAGCUAUCACUGAAGGAGGGGAUUGCGUCUGAUUAGCUAGUUGGAGGGGUAACGGCCCACCAAGGCGAUGAUCAGUAGCCGGUCUGAGAGGAUGAACGGCCACAUUGGGACUGAGACACGGCCCAGACUCCUACGGGAGGCAGCAGUGGGGAAUCUUCCGCAAUGGACGAAAGUCUGACGGAGCAACGCCGCGUGAGCGAUGACGGCCUUCGGGUUGUAAAGCUCUGUUAAUCGGGACGAAAGGCCUUCUUGCGAAUAGUGAGAAGGAUUGACGGUACCGGAAUAGAAAGCCACGGCUAACUACGUGCCAGCAGCCGCGGUAAUACGUAGGUGGCAAGCGUUGUCCGGAAUUAUUGGGCGUAAAGCGCGCGCAGGCGGAUAGGUCAGUCUGUCUUACAAGUUCGGGGCUUAACCCCGUGAUGGGAUGGA
RNAcentral lists this ribosomal RNA (632 nucleotides) under uncultured Veillonella sp. Its description in RNAcentral is "bacterial SSU rRNA". It matches the Rfam family "Bacterial small subunit ribosomal RNA", at positions 28 to 630 of the family's 1533-position model. The record is from RNAcentral. Lineage: Bacteria; Bacillati; Bacillota; Negativicutes; Veillonellales; Veillonellaceae.